This 345-nucleotide unclassified non-coding RNA is filed under the name soil metagenome. RNAcentral describes it as "partial contains 5.8S ribosomal RNA, internal transcribed spacer 2, and large subunit ribosomal RNA". The stretch from base 1 to 120 matches the Rfam family "5.8S ribosomal RNA", at positions 35 to 154 of the family's 154-position model. The record is from RNAcentral.
GAUGAAGAACGCAGCGAAAUGCGAUACGUAGUGUGAAUUGCAGAAUCCAGUGAAUCAUCGAGUCUUUGAACGCACAUUGCGCCCCCUGGUAUUCCGGGGGGCAUGCCUGUCCGAGCGUCAUUGCUGCCCUCAAGCACGGCUUGUGUGUUGGGCCUCCGUCCUCCUCCCGGGGGACGGGCCCGAAAGGCAGCGGCGGCACCGCGUCCGGUCCUCGAGCGUAUGGGGCUUCGUCACCCGCUCUUGUAGGCCCGGCCGGCGCUUGCCGACACAUCAAUCUUUUUUCCAGGUUGACCUCGGAUCAGGUAGGGAUACCCGCUGAACUUAAGCAUAUCAAUAAGCGGAGGA